Molecule: ribosomal RNA, 255 nt
Filed under: uncultured bacterium
Lineage: Bacteria
Description: partial 16S ribosomal RNA
Rfam family: Bacterial small subunit ribosomal RNA
Source: RNAcentral
UACGAAGGGGACUAGCGUUGUUCGGAAUCACUGGGCGUAAAGCGCACGUAGGCGGAUAUGUCAGUCAGGGGGUGAAAUCCCACGGCUCAACCGUGGAAGUGCACUCGGAACUGGAUGGCUAGAGUCCCGGAGAGGUUGGUGGAACUCUCGGUGUAGAGGUGAAAUUCGUAGAUAUCGAGAAGAACACCGGUGGCGAAGGCGGCCAACUGGGACGGUGACUGACGCUGAGACGCGAAAGCGUGGGGAGCAAACAGG